Esox lucius (northern pike) is the source of this 1060-nucleotide long non-coding RNA. NCBI's taxonomy places the organism in Eukaryota, Metazoa, Chordata, Actinopteri, Esociformes, Esocidae. The record is from Ensembl.
UAAUCUUUGCUCUAAGUAUGUAAUGGCAUGAAAUUACCCCUCUAGAAGCAAGAUUUGCUUUAAAGAUUUGCUUGCAAGUGUUGUGGAGUACUGAACAUCUCUUUCUAGAUAUGUGAGAGCAAUAUUUUAAGACAUCACAUACCAGUCUGACUUUGAUCAGAAUAAAGCGCUGGUUUCCAGGGACUAAAAAAAGUAUUCACAAAAAUGUAAAAGUGAAAUGAAAGUUAAAGAUAUCUAAAAAAACAGAGUGGUAUCCAAAAAUAGCCGAGCCGUAGGCACCUGGGAUAUAAGUGUACACAAUUAAAGGGUAUUACAGUUAAUUAUUGUUAUUUCUAUAUUUAAUAUUGUUAUUCUUAUUGGUAUCAUCAUCAUCAAUAUGAUAGAACUUUCUAAAAAAAAUAAGUAACUUUUUUCAUUCACAAAAAAUCAUUUUCAGAAUCAUAACUUGAGUCCCUCAUAGAAAGUAAUUAAAAAUAUAGGUUUUGCAUAUAUAGCAUUAGCAUUUAAGGUAGUAUGGCACACCCCUUUUAAAACAUUCAAGGGUGGGGAUCCAAAUAAUGCCUUGUUUAAAAUUCCAUCUUACAGCAAAUGGUUUCUCUAUAGUUGUUCUGUGAGAGCUUUGGUUAGUUGGAACCAUGUGAGGUCGGUAAAACACAACAAAGAAAAAAAGGACAUAUGACAUGGAACUGCUAUUAAAAUAAAUGUCUGAAAAUGUAUGUCAAACUUCUGAUAAGAGAAAGUGAGAUCCUUACUGGUCCUAAAUCCACUAAUAACUACAAGUAUUAUCACAUAACAUCUACAACUAAUUACAAGGAGUUAGAGGGAGAAAAAGGGGGUGGGGCAGAGGAAAAAGCCAGAGAAAAGGAGAACGACAAAGAAGAUCCUAGACCACUAGACUGGUAUCAAAGACAGCAAGCACUCUGGUACAAGUUAAUCGUGAUUUCUUUACGCACUAUUGAAAUACAUGGAUGAACAACAAAAGAUUGUAUGUGGUGACGGAAUGGAAAGAGAAAUCGAUGGAUGCACAGUACAUUUUAAUAAUAUAAUAUUACAUUAUCAA